AAGGAAUAUUGGACAAUGGAGGCAACUCUGAUCCAGCCAUGCCGCGUGAAGGAAGACGGCCUUAUGGGUUGUAAACUUCUUUUAUACAGGAAGAAACCUUUCCACGUGUGGAAAGCUGACGGUACUGUAAGAAUAAGGAUCGGCUAACUCCGUGCCAGCAGCCGCGGUAAUACGGAGGAUCCAAGCGUUAUCCGGAAUUAUUGGGUUUAAAGGGUCCGCAGGCUGUUUGUUAAGUCAGAGGUGAAAUCCUACCGCUCAACGGUAGAACUGCCUUUGAUACUGGCAAACUUGAGUUAUUGUGAAGUAGUUAGAAUGUGUAGUGUAGCGGUGAAAUGCAUAGAUAUUACACAGAAUACCGAUUGCGAAAGCAGAUUACUAACAAUAUACUGACGCUGAGGGACGAAAGCGUGGGUAGCGAACAGG
This 423-nucleotide ribosomal RNA is filed under the name uncultured bacterium. Its description in RNAcentral is "bacterial SSU rRNA". It matches the Rfam family "Bacterial small subunit ribosomal RNA", at positions 356 to 776 of the family's 1533-position model. The record is from RNAcentral.